GACAGUGAAAUGGCCCCCUGUUUAAAAAGUUUGAGGACCCCUGCACUAGACAAACUGGCCAGUAUGACAACCAAAAGUGUCUCUGGAUAAAACAAUUAGUGUUGUAAAAGUAGUGUCUAAAAAGAUUUUGCCAUAAGAAGAAAAAUUAGAAACUUCACAAUGAAGAUAAAAAAGACCAUAAGCCUUCUAUUUUAAUUACACAGAAUCUUUGCUAAUAUUUUCAGUUAAAAAUCUAUCAUUUUAUUUUUCCUACGUAUCCAUUGUUUCUUUCAUUAACUAAGCAGUAUAAUCUAAUCAUAGAUUGUUUUGUCACUGUUUUAAGCACCUAAUUGUGAAUUAUUCAGUCAUUUAUGAUACUCGAAAAGCCAUCCUCCUUCUUUACUUAUAGCUCUAGAGAAAUAUGCAUGUAUUUUAUGAUUUUUUAAUUUUAAAUAUAUCGCAUUUAUUGCAUAUUUAUUAUGGACUAGGAAAUAUGCUAAGUAGUUUACUCCUGUUAUUACAUUUAUUAAGUCCUCUUAUUUCCUCGGAUAUUCCUUUGGAAUGCAACUGAAGUCCUGAAAUGAAUUAUCUUUGAUAAGAUCUCAAAGUUCUUAAUGUCAGAACACAGGUCUGAAACAGGGCUGGUACUGUUUAAGAGUUGGCUGCGUCUCUGCCUUGAAUUUGACUGAUUGUGCACUCAUGUUCCCUGCUAGAACAGCGAGCUCAAUGAAUACAGGAAUGAUGGAUCUUCUUAAUCAGCUAUGUGGUCUCGGCCUCUCUCACCACCCCAAGAAGCUUGCGUACAGCCCCUGCUGAACUGAACUAAUUUUUUGUAGCCAGGAAUUACUUUGUCUCUUUUGGUCUCCAGACCCAGAAAUAAUGUUUUCUUUUUUUUAAUUUUAGCUUCCUCACUUUUACACACUGGAGUUAAGAGACAGAAAUCACUAGGUUUUGACAGCACAGCUUGGUUAAGUUGUAAUUUUAAUUUUGUGGUGCUCCCUACUGUUGGCCUUUUUCUUCCAUGCUACAAUUCUUGCUGUUUUUUAAUAAACUCACCUUGGUCUGCUGCUCAUUUAAUCAGCACAUAUGGAAAACACCAGGAAUCUUAUUUUCAAAACUCUACUUCUCUUGGAGAAAAUUUAAAUAACCUUGCUGAAAUCAUCAGUUGGAAGCACUGAGUCCCUGGGGGAAAUGCGCUGUAAGGGUCUCACCUUACUGCUCUGGCUGGUCUUGAACUCCUUGCCUCAAGAGAUCAUCUGGAAUAUGUGGUACCAUAGGAGUGUGCCACCACCUCCCCUGACUCCCCAACAUAUCCCUUCUUUUGUAAUUGAAGGGAGAUUCCGUUUAGCCCUGUGACUUCUGUGAAGGAGGGAAGAAGAUGAGACUUGGACUUGAAGUAUUGAUGUAUGCAGUUUCUGGGGAGGUAGGAAGAUUGGAUUUCAAACUGAGCCACUCUGACAUCUUUUUUCCAGAGAGCAAUAGCAGAACAGGACACUCUUAGCCUUGGGCUCCAUUACUGUUUGUGUUCCCCCCAAAUUCUUAUCUCUAAGAUUAUUGUAUUAGUAGGUAGGGCCUUAGGAAGGUAAUUAGGUUUACAUGAGGUCAUGAGGGUGGAACCCUCAUAAUUGGAUUAGUGCUCUUUUAGAAAGAGGAAGAAAUACAAGAGCUUCUCUCUCCAUCAUAUGAAGAUUCAGCAAGAAGAUGGUCGUCCGCACGCCAGAAAAAGGUCCCUUAUCAAGAACUGAAUGUACCAGCACCUUGAUCUUGGAAUUCCAACCUGAAAAACUGUGAAAUAAAUGUCUAUUACUUAA
This is a non-coding RNA of Microcebus murinus (gray mouse lemur), 1790 nucleotides long. Lineage: Eukaryota; Metazoa; Chordata; Mammalia; Primates; Cheirogaleidae. The record is from RefSeq and is a predicted model, not a curated record.